Pteronotus mesoamericanus is the source of this 106-nucleotide small nuclear RNA. Lineage: Eukaryota; Metazoa; Chordata; Mammalia; Chiroptera; Mormoopidae. The record is from RefSeq and is a predicted model, not a curated record.
GCACUCACUUUGGCAGCACAUAUACUAAAGUUGGAACAAUGCAGAGAUUAGCAUUUUCCCCCUGCACAAAAAUGACACACAAAUUCAUGACAUUUAGAUGAGGAAU